RNAcentral lists this ribosomal RNA (217 nucleotides) under uncultured bacterium. RNAcentral's name for it is "partial 16S ribosomal RNA". It matches the Rfam family "Bacterial small subunit ribosomal RNA", at positions 114 to 334 of the family's 1533-position model. The record is from RNAcentral.
UGCAUAGGAAUCUACCCCAGUAUGGGGGAUAACGUGGAGAAAUCCACGCUAAUACCGCAUAUGCCCUACGGGGCAAAGCAGGGGACCUUCGGGCCUUGCGCUAUUGGAUGAGCCUAUGUCGGAUUAGCUUGUUGGUGAGGUAAAAGCUCACCAAGGCGACGAUCCGUAGCUGGUCUGAGAGGAUGAUCAGCCACACUGGGACUGAGACACGGCCCAG